CUGCCGUCGAGCUUGAGCUGGGUCAAGCUCAUCCACGGCCAGGCGUGGCGUUUAUCGGUCCGGAGAGCAGGGUGUGGCUCAGUCAGCACCGGUCACGUACGUAAACGCACCAUGCACCAGUACCACACAUCAGUGACGCCAGGGAGUUGCAAGAGGAUAAGGCAAUCGUAUCCCCAUGACUCCGUUUGCUACGGUACGCAUGCAGCUAGCACAGCCGGCCGAAGCUCUGCUCUCAGCUCGACAACAAUGGCGAGAGCCUGCAAGUGCAGCCCCGCGGUGAGGCUGCUGCCGUAUCCGAUCACAGCACAGCUGGCGGGCAGCAGGAGCCACGGAAGAUGCAGAAGCCUCGCCGUUCACGCGCAGCUCCCAACCGAGGAUGAUUACCCCGCCGAGUCACCGAAAAGGGUCCAGGUUACACAGAGCCUCAGGAGGAGGCGCCGGAGGGGGCCCGGCGCGCGGCAGAGCCUGGUGUCCGUCGGGACGUCGCGCGGCGGAGGGGAUCAGUGGAGCAGCGACUUCGAGCUGACGCUCCGGCAGCUGAGGCUGGACGACCUGAUCGAGGAGGGGCAGAGCGACGCCGACGUCCUGGUGCACCUUCUAGUCCAGCAGGUAACUGACAGAGAAAAUAUGCACCGAGCAAGUGAGCAGCUGCCUGAUAGCUGUGAGAUGUUCGUCUGCUUUCAGCACACCCAGUUCGGAAUGUCGAUCAAAGGGCGAGUGGUCACAUCGCUCACCAAAAUAUGCGAUUCCUGCUCCGCCCCAUACUGCACAAAGAUUGAUGAGCAGUUCGACAUUACGGUGCUGUCUUCCUCCAGGAAAGACCAGAGCGGCUUGCCUGAAAUCGGAGACAGCGAUCCGUCAAGCAGGUCAUGUAUGUGAAGCCAGGAACAGAAAUCGAUAUCGACUCGUCAAUCCAAGAGACAAUACGACUAACAGCGUCAGCCAAGAGUUCAUGUUCGGAGGCGUGUGAGAAGUCUCCUGUCGUGUGGAAACGUGCUGGUAACCAGAAGAAGCGUUACAGCCAAACGUGGUCAAAACUUCUUGAUCUCAAGAGAACUCUGGAUAAGGCGCACAGCUAAAUUACUGUUGGCGAUGCAGUUUCAACUCGAUGCCACUGAUUAUCUGAUAUGAAUGCCACAGUGUGAUAUAUCGAACAAAAAGCUCGUGUGACCGGAUGAUUAAUCAACGGACAUGGUUAUCCAGUGAUUGCUUCUCUCCAUAAUACUUUAGUUAACUGUAUACUCACAGAGACUACUGUACUAGACUAUAACAAACCAUUUUUUCUUUCCUCGAAUAUAUUUCCUGUGGGAAACUAUGUAUGAAAUCAGAAUAUUCUUUUGAGGAAUAUAUGAAUUCAGAAGUCAUUCCACAACUA
RNA transcript from Triticum aestivum (bread wheat), 1375 nucleotides. It is a transcript of the gene named large ribosomal RNA subunit accumulation protein YCED homolog 2, chloroplastic, with no coding region annotated. The transcript is spliced from 6 exons. The record is from RefSeq and is a predicted model, not a curated record. Lineage: Eukaryota; Viridiplantae; Streptophyta; Magnoliopsida; Poales; Poaceae.